RNAcentral lists this long non-coding RNA (30722 nucleotides) under Solanum lycopersicum (tomato). RNAcentral describes it as "long non-coding RNA (SLYC_LNC000717)". Lineage: Eukaryota; Viridiplantae; Streptophyta; Magnoliopsida; Solanales; Solanaceae. The record is from RNAcentral.
AUUUGUUACACUAAAACAACAUCAACAACUAGAUUGUUUUCUCUUUAUUAUGAGGUAUUUUACUCGGACUUUUUAAAUAUACCGAGUAUAAGUCAAAUUCUUCAAAAAUGACGUAUUUUUAAAGGACUUUGGAGGGCCCGAGUAACAUAGAGUUUAUGAGAUAUUCAGAUAUAGAAAUGUGUUUGCCUAGGCGCGGAGUUUUAGAACGACUAAAAAACUUUUAAAAUUUUGGUCCAGAACAAGUCAUAGAUAUUGAAAUGUAUCCUUCUUUUUUAGUCUGACUAAAAAAAGAGAGUCACAUAAAUUGGGACCGAAGGAUCAGUUGAUGUUGAAGCUUAUUUACUUACAAAGAGGGGAAUUUUGGUCAUCAGUUAGUUGAUUUAUUGGAUCUAUUAUUUGUCUUGAUUUAAAACUAAUUUGCGAGUGUUUUUGACCUAUGUUGUUUGAAUUCUUCAAAAAUGUAAACGAGUGCAUGUCAGUUCCUUCAUGACAUAGACGUGGCAACAUGUUUGAAGAGUCCGAGUAACAUAGCUUUUGACAUUACAUUCAACAAAUUUGCAUAUUUUGAUCAAGAAAGUUGACAAAAGAACCACAAAAACUAGUUAAAAGUGCUAAAUUGAGUGUCUUUUUCUUGCUAUAGGUUGGUGAAGAUUCAAACAAUCCAGCAUGGGAUGACAUUGGUUAUCAAGUAGACAAUGAAGAGAACUCUUCAGAAACACCAGAUGAGAGACCUCUUCAGAAGGGAAUCAUCGAAACUAUAUACGAGACAGAAUCAAGCAUUGUAAAAUCUCUUGUCGAAAAAGGCCUAAAAGUCACAGAAGACACAACAAACAACAUGUACAAGGUUCAAUGUGAUGUUGUCAUUGUUGGUUCAGGCUGUGGUGGAGGUGUUGCAGCAAGUGUUCUUGCAAGUUCUGGACAGAAAGUCGUUGUUCUCGAGAAAGGAAACUACUUUGCGAAAUCAGACUAUUCUUCCCUUGAAGGACCUUCACAGUCCCAAAUGUAUGAAUCAGGUGGUAUACUCUCAACUUUGGAUGGUAAAGUUAUGAUCUUGGCUGGUUCAACAGUUGGUGGUGGCUCUGCUGUUAACUGGUCAGCUUGUAUUAAGACCCCUGACUCCGUUAUACAAGAAUGGGGCGAUGAUAAAAGAAUCUCAAUGUUCAAAACCCCCGAGUAUGUAUCAGCUAUGGACAAAGUUUGUGAACGAAUCAACGUGACAGAGAAAUGCACACAAGAAGGUUUACAGAAUCAGAUUCUCCGUAAAGGGUGUGAAAGACUUGGUCUUGAAGUUGAAGGCGUGGCAAGAAACUCAUCCGAGGAUCAUUAUUGUGGCUCGUGUUGUUAUGGAUGUAGAAGAGGUGAGAAGAAAGGAACUGAUACAACUUGGCUAGUCGAUGCUGUGGACUGUGGAGCUGUGAUUAUAACAGGAUGCAAAGCCGAGAGAUUCAUACUCGAAAAGAAAAAGUAUGGGAAAACGAGAAGCAAGAAAUGCUUAGGAGUGAUUUCAACUAGUAUGAAUAAAGACAUCACAAAGAGUAUAUGUAUUGAGGCAAAAGUGACCAUUUCAGCUUGUGGUUCUCUUUUGACACCUCCACUUAUGAUCUCUAGUGGAUUGAAGAAUCGAAACAUUGGUAGAAAUCUCCAUCUUCAUCCAGUCAUAAUGGCGUGGGGGUAUUUCCCCGAGUCAAACUCUGGUCUCAAGGGAAAAAUAUACGAAGGAGGAAUCAUUACCUCGGUACACAAAGUGGGGAGUUAUGAUUCGAAUGUAAGAGCUAUUAUAGAAGCUCCUGCUUUAGGACCGGGAUCGUUUGCUGCUUUAUGUCCUUGGACAUCAGGAGAGGACAUAAAGAAUAGAUUACUCAAUUAUGACAGAACAGCUCAUUUGUUUGCAAUGGUUAAAGACGUUGGGUCGGGGGAAGUUAGGUCCGAAGGAAGAAUUAGCUACACGUUCAAUGGCAUGGACAAAGAAAGUUUGAAACUCGGGCUAAGACAAGCUUUAAGGAUCUUGAUAGCUGCAGGAGCUGCUGAGGUAGGUACUCAACGUAGCGAUGGACAGAGAAUCAAGUGUACAGGACAAAGUGAAAAAGCACUCGAGUCUUUUCUUGAGACGGUCACAGCAGCUGAGGGGCCAAAGUCACUUGUAAAGGAUUUUACAACUUAUUCUUCUGCUCAUCAAAUGGGGAGCUGCAGGAUGGGAAUGAACGAAAAGGACAGUGCAGUCGAUGAAAACGGGGAGAGUUGGGAAGCAGAAGGACUAUUUGUUUGUGAUGCUAGUGUUCUUCCAGGUGCUGUUGGUGUAAAUCCAAUGAUCACUAUACAGUCUACUGCAUAUUGUCUAUCCAAGAAGAUAGCAGAGAUGAUAAAAGACGGAAGAUUCUCAAGAUAAGCGAUCCUCAGCUACUUAUCCUCUUUAUAUAUAUAUAUAUAUACUGUUCCCAUACGAAUUCGUAAUGCCUUGUCCUUCUUUGAUUGUUCAUAUAUUUAUAAUGUUCAUUUAAAAUUAAAACAUAUUGUAUGACUAGUAUGGAUUAAGAGGAUAUCAAUAAACAAAAUAUUCAAGUUUGAUGUAUUUCAAGUGUGUUUUUGACCGUUUUAUUCGUAUAUAUAACACAGAAAUGCAGUUACUAUAUAACUGAACGUGGAUAACGGAUCAUAACAGAAUUGAAUUGAAGCACAAGAAGUGUAAAUGACAUACAAUCAUGAUGUGGUAGAAGAAUGAAGACUUCUUCUGAUAUUUACUAAAAAUUAAUAUAAGAUCUCAGAGAUACAUUUUCUGAUCAUAAUUGAGUUAAGAAUGAGAAAAAUAUACAAACAGGCAUGGAAAUAACAUUAGCUUAAUGCAACUCUUCUUGGCAACACCUUGAGCCAUAAGGCUCGAAUCAUUUGUUAAACGAUCAAUAAAAUGAUGGCGGAUUCUCCACUCACACCAUAAGCGAUAAAGUGCCUCCAACUUGCUGCUGCAGAAACUACUGUUUUCCGCUUAUUCAGAAGCCUGUCUUUGUUAUCCAAACACAGAUCUUAAGUUUCUUCUAGCCAUCAGAGUCUGUCUCGCGGAAUGGCAAUGGAACUGCCUUCACUGCCCUGAACUUUCCGACAUUGUUCAAGUGUUCAUUCUCCAACCUAAACAAUCACAAAUAAAUAGUAAGGAGUCUUGUAUGUUUAGCACAUAAUGUCUUUGCUAGCCUGCUAGGGACUUAGUGUACCUGUAGAAGUUCCAGUGACCACGUCGAAUAACUUCCAAUGAGGCAAGGCAAAAGUCAAGUAAACGCGACUCAAAGAAUCCAACGUUGAAAUGCAUCACUGUCUCCACCCAAGCAACUCUCAAGACCAAAUUCAAAGCCUAUGAUGAUUCAAAAUUUUGAAAAUCUGUUCAGGUAUAUGAUAUUGUUAUAUGUAACACAAAAAACUGUCGAAAGACGAAAAGGACUUACAAUUGAAGCAUAGUAAAUGCUCUUAUUCUUCAAGACUAGUUCAUCUCUGAGCAAAAAGUUCUUGGAUUUCAAGUUAAAGAAUCCCCAGUCCUUAACAAAAUCCCAAUACAACUGAUAAACUGUGGCUAUAACUGAAGUCACCAAGACGAUCGAGAACCAUAACUGUGAGUCAGGCUCUCUUGCAUAAGUUAGCCUAGCACCAGCUGCUACCAUAGCAGAAACAUACUUUCCCAAGUUAGCUAAGUGAUUUAUGUCAGACUCUUCGAACCAUCUCCUUGCACACUAGAUAGAUAACAGAACACACGAGUUAAUUCACUCCGAAAACUGUCAAAGUUUGAAUCUUUAGUUGUUACCAUAUUUACCUGCAUUGCUCGCCAAUAAUAUGGCGCGAAAGAGAUAACAUAAGCAAGUUCUCUGUACAUCCUUCCAGAUUUACACAUUGGAAGUCCAUGAGCUGUCAAACUUCCAGCAAGAAAAUAGCAAGCUGAAGACUCCAAAUGCCUCAUCAAUGGGAUCUAAACACAGGAAAACAUUCGUAAAGUUAAGAAUGCAACUUUGUGGAUGUUCAUACUUUGCUCUGUAGUCUUUUAGUUAUCAUAUAGUUCCUAUAGUAAAGACUAUAUGUCAUCAGUUGUGACGUUUAUGAAGAUUCAACCCCCUCGGACACUUAAGCAACCAGUGUGAUUGUGUCACACGGAGACAACUUCACCGUUGCUCCAAAGCAUAGAAGAUAGUAAGGUUAGCUAACCUGGCUUGUUAGUUGAUCAGCCAUGAAAAAGUCUACCAUGAGGACCUGCAUCAAUAUCAUUAUAUUUGAGAGGUCAAGAAUCAUUACUCAAACUACGCCGUUCAUGAUUUUCAGGAUGUGAAAGUACCUUGUAGAACGGAGAGCAGACGAUGUUACGUAUCACUUUGAGGAAGUAGAAGCGCGUUGGACGAUAGAAAACGUUCAACGGACAUAUCAGGAGAGCAAGAAAAGUCUGAAAAAAUGCAAAGUGCAGGAUUAGAAAGGGAUGCAUUUGAGUCAUUUCAACAUGAAUGUUAGUACUAGUAAACAAGAUUUUCUUUCGGUUAACAAACCAGUAGUAGAAUUCCAGGAAUUGCAUCGACUUGGCUCGGAGAAAAUCCAUUAGAAAGUAAGAUCAAGUGAACAACAAGAGCUCCAACAACAGAAGUCAUUAAACAAGUUCCUAUGAGGAAUGCAUCUCUGUAUUUGAGAGCUGUUUUAGGUUGAAACUCAAAUAUGAAGUUGUAAUUGAUCCUUGUGCCUUUCCAUAGGAACAAAUUGCAUCCAUACAUGAACAAAUGCAAGCUUAGCAAUGCAAACAUGCUGCACAACAUUACACAAGUAAACUCAUCUUUAGUAUUCGUAAAGAUGUAACUUCGUUUACACUAUUACUGUAAUUUAACAUGUCAUAGCACGUUACAACAACAACAUAUCCAGUGUAGAUCCACAAAGUGCGACUCUAGGGAGGGUACAGUGUACGCAGACCUUACCCCUACCUCAGAGGUAGAGAGGUUGUUUCUGUUAGACCCUCAUCAGCUCAUGGAAAAAACAAAGCUUUCAAAAUAGUAAUUACAACAAAUCGAAGUACGAGUAACAACAAAAUUCAAUGUCGGAGCCACGAAUUUCACAAAGGGUGUCUAGAAAUAGCACAACAAAAACUCUACUAAAAAAAAUAGAACUAGUAAGAUUCAUACACACGAGCACUUCCUCAUUCCAGGGACGUGAAACCACUGGGCUAUAACAAUUUGUUAGGUUAAGGAUGUCCAAAAUAUAUUAUUUAAUUAUUUUACUUGUGUAUACGGUACUUUUUCCCAAUAGAGGACAAGAAACUAUAGGAGCAGUACUACGACUACUACUAGUAUCGAAGUAGUACUACGAUUACUAACAUCCUACUAUAAUUUGUCUCCUCGCUCCUAUCUAAGGUCAUAUCACUUGUUAUAGCAAGUUAUUUCACUUUAUUUUUCAGGUAACUAGUUCGACUUAUUAAAAAAGUCUUACAUGAUAGAAAAAGAAACCAAAAAUUAAUUUUGAGAGAAUAUAAGUAUGUUCCUUCACAUAGCUUAACGAGUUUAAGUUUUAUACACCAGUGAUGUAACGAUAUAUUCUUAACCAAUCAUGUCACUUAUAAGACAGUUACGUAUAAAUCGCGUUUGUAACGAAAAUAAAUUACCAAAGUCACAAAUUAUAAAAAGAAAAAGACAUUUUUCCAUAAAUUAUGUCAAUAAAGAGGGAAAAAAACAUGAAAAAUAAUGUGAUUAAAAUAAGAAAAAAGUACCUGAAAACAGGGUAAACAGUUUCAACAUAAGCAGCUUCAGUUCUUGUAGAAAACAUGCCAGUCAAAUGGGCCAAAAUUGCGUAUACACUAAAUAAUGUCACAAAACAACCUGUGAAAAGCCCUGCAAAUCGAAAAAAUCGAUAAAAAAUAUUAGUCGUAUUUAACUUAUAUACAUUGCCAGUAUAAAAAAGAAUUACACUAUCGAUGUAUUUUACGUGUUCAAUGGACCUUUUUUAUUACUAGUGUGCAAGUGGUUUUUAAUUUGAGCUAGAAACGCCAAAUGAGCUGAGUUAAUAAAUGCGAUCGAUACAACGACCCUUCUAACUCAGAAUCACUUCAAUACUUUUUCUCUUUUUUAAUUUGUUCUUUUAAAUUUCUAGUUGCAAUUUAAUUGGUUAAAGAAAUUGUUUUUUUUUCUAGAAUAAAGUAAAAUUAUACUCUAUAUUGCUAAAUAUAUUUCUUGUGGGACAAAAUUAUCUUUUGAGUUUAUGUGAGCUACUAGUAAUGUAAACCCCAAGCAAUUGACAACUUCAUUAUCAAUUAGUUUAUUUGAGUGACACCUUCACCCUCUUUUUUUUUCACUCGGUAUACGAGUCCCAUAUUGAAGUUCCGAUUAAAUUUUAAUCGCAUUGUAGGACCCUUUCGGGGUAGCUUUCUUAACAUAAUUUUCUCUAUACUUAGGACUCGAACCUUGAAUAAGUACAUUAGUCACCCAAUUCUCAUGUUUAAUAUUCUUUUUGUUCUAUAUUAGUUGUCAUAUUUUGAUUCUCUAGAGUUAAUUUGAUAAUUUUCAAAAUUAAUUUUUUUAAGAAACAAGGAUUAUUAUUUAUAUAUUUAAUUUGUUUGUUUUGUUGUUGUUCUGUUCCAUAUUAGUUAUCAUAUUUUGAUUUCCUGAAAUCAAUUUAAUUAGUUUUUUUAAAGUUAAUUAAAAAUAAACAAGGAUUAUUAUCUACCUAAACUUUAUAUUGCUCUAUUUUCUACACACCUAAGUGCUGACCUGUCAUGGGAGGUGUUGUCAUCGCCUCUAGGCGCGUCAGAAGUAGAAAUUUGACGAAAAAUUUCUUCUUCUCCACUGGUCAUCUUCCCACCUUUAAAAAAACUAGUGUUUCUUCUUCCAUACCAUUAAUCCUUGUUCCUUUUGUAAAAAAAAAUCACGAUUUCCUCUCAAAAUUAAGUAGGAUUUAGUUGUUAAUGUUCAUUUCUACUUCAAAUCUUGAAUUUAGGGUUCGUAAUCUGCUCUAAUUUCUUAUUUAGGUCCCUAAUUUAAAUUUUUGAAUUUUCUCAAAAUUCAUCAAAAAUGUCAAACGAAAACUCGAAUAACGUUGUAUGGAUGAAUCAGACCCAAUGCUCAACGUUGUAGAGAGAUACAAACACGAAUUUUGAACCCUUUGAUGAAGAAGACCCACUUAUUGAAAUUGUUGUAAAUAUCAAUUGAGUUUCUUAUAUCAAUCUUUGAGAAAUGUUAUAAUAGUGGAAGAAGAAACAAUAUCAGCGAUAGAGUUUUUAGAACGAGAUUUCUUAGUGUUUAAAAUUACGAUGAAGGUUGAAGAAGCAGUAGUCGUCAAAUCUAGAAAAGCUUCAAAGAAAAAGAAAUGGAAAAAUGAAAAAGAAAGAGAAAAGGAGAAGUGAAUAUAUAAAGCAAAAAAAAUAUAUAAAAGAAUAAUUAGAUUUUUUUAUACAAAAAAAGAGUAAAUAUUACGUGGCAGCGCAUGUAGACCUCUGCCUAAUAUAAAUCUAGGCAUGAGUUUAUAGGAGACUAGAUAUUUUACUUAUAAAAAAUUCAGGAAAGUGAUAGGACCCCGUAAAGAAUAAAUGUUGAAAAUUCGAUAAUAGCACAGGUAGACUUUUGACCGUUUAAUUUUUUUUUUUGGUUGUUGAAACUUUAGUGAACUUUAUUUGUACCUUUUAUUAAGCACUAACAUAUGCAUAUAUAGAUUGAUCUAGAGAAACAUGUAAAAAAAUGAAAUUUUAUAAAAAAAUUUAAUAAUGGGGUUGGUGAGUGAAGAAAUUUACCAACAAAAAAAGUGACCAUAUGAGAUUCUUUAUUCUGUUGUGGUCUUAAAAACUUCAUUGCCUUUUUCCUGUCACUGUUUGCAAAGUGCUGUGUGAAUAAGGACUCCACUUCAUCCAUUAAUCUAACCACCUUCUCACCAUUAUAACAAAACAAAAAAAUAAUAAUAAAAAUAUUAUAAAAUUAGUACAUACAUUUUCUACCUUAUCUUAUAAAAGCAACCAUUAACUCAUUAUUAAACAUUAACAACAUUAUUUUCAUGAUAGAUUUAUCUUUCUAUAUUGCUUGGACUCGAGUAUGGGACCUACUCGAUACAGGUUGCAGAUCUAAUGAUCCGAUUCUUUAUUAUAUAAAAUUUUAGGAUUCAGAAUGUGAAUGAGUGUAUGAUAUGGUACGGUCUAGAUAUAUACAUAUAAUAUAUCCAAUUAUGUGUAUUAAUACUAAUGCGACAGAUACUAUUAUAAAAUAUGAAAUUAGCGGUAAAAUCUAUAGCUAAAUGGGAUUAGCAAUGAAUUUUUAUUGUUUAGCUACGAAAUUUUAUCUAUUAAUAACUUUUUAAAAUAUAGUGAAGAACUUCUAAGGAUCCGAGCAAUAUAGUUAGCAUAAUGACAUGAGGCCUAUAUUUUUUACUUUUAACAACAAUCAUGACAACAACACGAAAACAUAAAAUGUAAAAAAUAUUGAACUAUAUAUAUUAUUUGAUACGACAAAAGUCAUUUUUACGAACGCGAUUAUUCAUAAAGAUAAUGAUGUAUGUUUAUAAUUUAUACGUGAAAUUUACCUUAUCAGAGCUGAUGAAAUGUGAUCUUUUUACUUGUUUAAGGUAAUUUGCUGAUGAUUGCUGUUUAGCUACCUGUUUGAUAAUGAAAAAAAGUAUAUUAUUACAAAAUAUUUUACGUGUCAUAUGUAUUUAUUGAUUUGAUAUAAAUACUGACGUUUUAUUAAUUUUUUAAUUAUAUGCAAUGUACUAAAACAAUAUAUUUACCUUGUCAAACUUUUUAAGUAUCUUCACGAAAGCAACCAUAUUUAGUGAGCUGAAAAAAAAGAGUUAAAAAGUGAAAUAAUUAGAACUAAAUUAUAUAAAGUAAAUAAAUACGUUCAAGAAACUUCUUCUAUAGCUAAUGAAAAAAAAAAAUUGAUCAAAAGGUGACAAAUAAUUUAGCCAAAUAUAGAGAAAUUGAAAAGGAAAAAAAAAAGAGUUAAAAAAUAUUUGAUACAUAUUUUGUCAUUUUCUUAUUGCUUUAAAAAAAAAUCCUUUGUAAAAGAUACACUUUAUUUGUUUGUUACAUGUUUGUUUCUAAUAAAUAAUAAAUGAUUGCUAUAUAAAGUCAAAAUAAUAUUACGACAUAAAUCUAUUAUAUUACGAAAACGAAAUCUCGACUAUAACAAAAAUACAAAUAUAUCACAAUCCUAAAAAGAGUAAAGUGUUUUUGUUUUUUCAACAUCAAAGAGCUAUAUAUGAUUUUGACAUAUAUAUAUAUAUAUAUAUAUAUAUAUAUCGUGUGAAAUAAAUAUAUAUAAUCAUCAUUGUAAUUUAAUAUGUUAUAAUACGUAUCCAACUAUGUUAUAUACCACUUUAUUCUAGUUCACUAACGAAGCCUAUCAAAUGAUCUGAUCUUAAAAUACUUGAUCGUGUAAAUAUUUUUAUGAUUCUAUCAAUACGUAGAACUGAACUCUUGAGUACCAUGAUGCUAGCUACCAUGGUAAUAGAAGUUUAAAUUCUACAUAGUACUAUCGAUAUAUAUAUUGCAUUUUUUAUACGAUUAUCAUUACCAUGGUCAAAUCAAAUUGUGUCAACUAAAAAAAAAUUAUAUUUUGUACCACGAUAAAUAUAUAUUAGGAGUACUACUUAAUAUUCAUGUAUAUCAAAAUUCUGAACACUAACAAUAUUCUUAGUGAAAUUCCUGAUUUUCACGUGGUCUUUUAUAUACAUACUAUAUGCAUGCAUGAAAAUAAUUUAGCGACAGAUUAACGACAAACCUGUAAGUUUUGAGUAAGCCAAGGCCUCUAUAGAGUUCAACAAAAGCACUUCUAAUCAUUUUUUCAGCACAUUGUAUUUUCUUCUUGUUGAUAUAUUCUCUAGGUCCAUCUUUUUUAGGGUUAUUAACUAAAUCUUCCCAUAACAUAGAUGUAACAGCAGCAAUUGUACGUGUUGGUGUUGUUGCUGGAAUAUCAAUCCUCAUAGCAACUUUUGGUUUUCCUCCUUUUUUUGUCUUAGCUCUUGUGCUUGCUGAAUUUACAAAAUUUAUCCCAUUUUUCUCUAGUGCUGCUAUCACUUCUUCUGUUUGUGUCCCUGUUGGACUUUCACAAUCACUUGGUGUUUCUACGUACACAAAAAAAAAAAAGAAUGUUAUUCGAGUUAUGAUUCAAAAAUAAAGUCAGACACAUGUCGAAUCUUUAGUUACUAUGUUGAUUGGAUCCUUUAAAAUUAUUGUCCUAAUUGUGUUGUAUAGUAGAGGAGACAAGAUAUCAAUAAAAGGGUUUAUAUAUACAUGUUGGUCGGAACAUUCAAAAAAUAAAGUCAAACACAUAUCGUUGUUGUUUUUAGUUACUGUGUUGAUUGGAUCCUUUAAAAAUAUUGUUCUGAUUGUGUCGUAGUAGUGGAGGUGGGAUAACAAUAAGGGGUUGGAUCAUAAAAAACGAAGUCAGACACAUAUCGAUUAAUCUUUUGAAUGUGCAUAGAUUUUGUUGUUGUUUUUAGUCAUUACAUUGAUUGGACCCUUCAAAAUAUUGUCCCACUUGUGUCAGAGUAGCGGAGGUAGAAUAUCGAAAAGAGGGUUUAUCAAUUAAUAUAUAUAUUGACCUUAUAUAUACAAUGUAUUUUAUAGCCAAAAAAAUAAAUAAAUAUUAUUCUGCUCCUGUCGUGUUUGAUCCUAAAAAAUUACACACCUUAUAUAUAUAAUGUAUUUUCUAGCCAAAAAAAAAAAAUUAAAUAAACAUCAUUCGUCGUGUUUGAUCCUAAAACACUACAUAUUUUUUAGAAGAUUAUUUGACACACAUCAAACAAUACAUUUAAAGAAUUUAUCAAUUGAACAACAUAUAUGGAAUUCAUAAAGAAAUAAUUAAGUUGAUAUUCUAGAAAGAAAGAAAAAAAUACUUUUUGAUUUUUUAAAGUUUUAUGCCUAUGUGGCUGGGAAAGUAAUACGUACACAAUUAAAUUACAUAAUUUUAUGUGAAUCUCUAUAAUAAGUUUUAAUUGAUAACAUAAUAGACUAGAUGAUACACUUAACUAACAUCUUGUUAAUUGGUUGGACAAUAUAGUACUAAUUAAUAACGUAAAAGAAAUUAUACAAUCGACGUAUAUAAUUUAAAUUUUUUAGAUACAUAUUACGUAAUUUUUCAAAUUUAAAAUUGUUAUAGAGUUUGAAUUUCUUAAGGUGGACAUUUUUAUUGAACAAUAUAGUACUAAUUAAUAACGUAAAAGAAAUUAUACAAUCAACAUAUAUAAUUUAAAUUCUUUAGAUACAUAUUACGUGAUUUUUCAAAUUUAAAAUCGUUAUAGAGUUUGAAUUUCUUAAGGUGGACAUUUUUAUAUGAAAAAUAUUGUGGAAUCCACUAAUAUAUUAUCAAAUAAGAAUUGAUUGAUUUGUUGGAAGAAAAAUAAAAUACAAUCUUUGUAUUUUUGGGACCACCAUGAUUUUUAUAUAAAUGGAGGAAACUAUUCACACUUAAUUUAGCCAUAUUAUUUUUUUGAUAAUUCAUUAAAAUUAGGAAAAUAUGUCUUGUAUUAAUGCAAAAUAUUUUAUGCAUAAUCUUUUUCAAAAAAUAAUUAGACAUUAAACCCAAGCUAGUUGGACAAGUAUUCCCAAUAAUAAACUUAAACGUGUUUAAUUUGGCUAUUUUUAAAAUUGCCCUUAAAAUAUACAAACAUCGCAUGAAGUUUAUUAAGAAAAAAUAAACUUGUUUUACUAACUUAUCAUAUGAUAUGUUUAAGUAAAGAAUGAAAAAAAUUAGAUAACUCACCAGAAAAAUCAGAGUUCCGUCCAGAUGAUGAGUGAGAUCGACUGAAAAACCCGGAACCAGAUCCAGACCUUGACCGGAGAGUUUUCCGACUCCGGUCACUGAGAACUUGCUUGAGGUCCAAUAGUAUUUGAAGCUGUUUAUUGAGAAUAUCGCCUCUUUCAAGAAACUCACUCUCUUUCGUCUUGUAAAACUCAUUCACUUUUUUCAGCUCUUCAUCCAACAUCUCAAAAAAUAGCCUCACCUACACAUGCAAAGUGAAAGUUUUUCAAUAUCGCUCUUUGUAAUUUCAAAAAAUAAUAACAAUCAACGACGAAUAAUUUUUUAUCGCUACCAAUAAAAGUCUAUAGGAUGAUCAUUAGCAAUAGACUAUCAAAAAUGUUAUAUAAGUGUUACCUAGUACCGAUGAUUUUCGUAGCUAAUUUUAAUUAUUUUUUUUUAAAAAAAUAUUAUAUAUAUAUAUAUAUAUAUAUAUAUAUGCAUAUAUUAUUUUUUUUUAAAUAUUAUAUUAUUGUUAUUAUUACCUCAUCUUCUUCAGAAAACAAUUGAACAAGCUCAUUUUCAGUUUCAUAUAUUUCUUCUUGCUCUUCUUGUUCCUCUCCAUUUUCUCCUUCUUUAAUUAUACUCUUCACCUAUAAUAAAAAAAAAUAUAUUAAAACCAAUAUGAAAUAUAUCAACAACUUUACAAAUCCUAACAAAAAUUUCCCAAAUAAUAAUUAAAUUGUCAUUUUCAUUUUGACCCCCUUUUUUUUAUGGUUGUUGUACUUGUUUCAACUAUUCACGAUAAUUUCAUGAUACUAACAUAAAAAAAAUUUUAAAAAAAAACCGUUUCAUUUUAUUGCCUUCCAUGCUAAACCACACACCCCUUGAAAUUAAAUCUUCUUGAUUAUAUCGAAACUAACGAAUCUAUCUGGAGAUAAUAGAAUGUAUGCAUACCUUACCUUUCUGUUUCUGAUAUUAGGACGUAUGCAGACGUUAUCCUUCUGAUUCGGAUAUUAGUAUUAAUAUGAAGAAGAAGAAAAAAAACAACAUUUUCAUGAAGGAGAAGAAAAGGUGGCAAAAAGCAAGAAUAUACAUUUGAUACUAUUGAUACUAGUGGUGUUGCCUAGCCAUAGACUAUAUUAUAUAAAUUAAAAUAUUUUUAUAACUUUUACCUCAAAAUAGCAUCACCUUUCCCUUUCUUUUUACAAACAAUAUGACAAAAACAAACUACAAUAUAAUUACAAAAAAAAAAAAAAGACAUACUUGAGAAACUUCAUGAGAUUUAUGAAACUUCAUGUGAGAUGUCAUAGUGAAUGAACGAAUCGAGUCGAAUAUGGAUCGACCAAAAUCAUGAAUAAGUGAAGAGUUUCCAUCAUGAACAUGAUGAGGUUUUCUUGAUAUUUUGAUUUUCUUAACUUGUUUUUUUAGUUGCCAAUAAUUUACAAAAGCAUCUUUCCAUUCUGGAAUUAGUUGUGCUUCAAGUUCUUUAGAAAACUUCACCAUUUUUUUUUCUUUUGAGGAAAAAAAGGAGAAAAAAAAAGGAGGAAAAGGAGGGGAAAAAAUUAAUUUUUAGAGAUGAGAGACAAUAAGAGGAAGUUUACAAAGAUUAUAUAGAGGGGUACGGAAUGGAGAGUGUUUGAAAAAAGAGACAAAAGUUAGUAGUAUUCCACCAUUCUCCGUCUCGAAAUAUUUGUCACGUUUUAUUUUUCGAGAGUUAAAACAGAAUAAUUUUAAUCAAGAUACAGUUUUUUUAUCAUAUUAAUACAAUAAAAAUUAACUACUAAAAAUAAUGCAAAAAUCGAUAGACGAAUCUGUCCCGUCCCAUAAUAUUUAUCAUACUUCAUUUUUCGAGAGUUAAACCAGAUUAAUCUUGAUCAAGAUAUAACUUUUUAUCAUGUUGAUAUGAUAAGAAUUAACUACUAAAAACAAUGGAAAAGUCCUGUCCUAUAAUAUUUAUGAUAGUUUUAUUUUUUGAGAGUCCAACUAAAUUGAUUUUGACUUAAAAGAUAUAUUUUUUAUGUUAUGUUAAUAUGAGAAAAAACAGCUACUAAAAACAGUGCAAAAAUCGAUUGUUGGAUCUAUACAAAAAAUCGAGAAAAAAUAAAUCAUAUCCAUCGAUUUUAUUUUUUAAAAAAAAAAAACAAAAGAUCGACGGACGGGCUUUGGUGUAAUUCUUUUCACGUAAAAAUAUGUGGAAAUUAUAAUUUUUUUAAAUUAUUCUUUAAAAGAAAACUGACGUAGUCUUUAAAUUUUUUAUUAUAUCUUUAUAAAAAGAUGACGAACAUGAUCGAUUUUUGACGUGUAAAAUUGUAGUUGAAGAGAGUACGAAUAAAAAUGAUGGAAACUUUUUUUAUCAAAAAACAUGUAUGAUUGAGUGAUAGAAUUGUCAAAAAUCAUUUUUAAAAAAUAUCUUAAUUUGAUUUAAAUAGCUAUUACUUUUAAUGUAUAUUUUUGAAAAAUUAACCAUGAUUAUAGAUUUUGGCCCUCAAUUUGACUAAUGUUUUAGCUGUAAAUUGCAAAGUAAUUGUAGUGUUUGUUUUUUUAGAGAAUUUUUAAAUAUUUGAAUUAUAAUUUUAAAAUACUCAAUUUAACUCGAUAAAUUAAUAUAUUAAUUAUUAAAAAGAAAAAUAUAUCAGUAGACAGUAAAUAGUGGUUGCCUUAGCUUGUUUCUUAUUUUAAUUAAUUAAUUUUUAGAAGCAUAUAUAAUGGUUUGGUUACCUUUUGACACCAGAAAAAAGGUGAAAAGGUAAUUAAUUUUCUUAAUAGAUAUUGGUCAAAAAAAAUUUAAAUUUUUUAAAAAUAAUAUUGUUAUAAAGAUAAAUAUGAGUGUGAGUAUAUAUUUAUAAAGACUGAGAAAAUUAGACUCUUUAACUAAUUGUAAUAUUACAUUCAGGAGCGGCUCAAACAUAUUAGUGGUCUAAAGCAAAAAUCAAAUGGGGCCUUAUAUUUGAAUUGUUUAUAACUUUUAUAUAAUUGCUUUCUUCUAGUUUUCAGUUGAUAAUAUAACCAUUCUUAUUUUAAAUUAUUUUUUUAUGAGAUAUAGUACUCCAAAUAUGUCAAUUUUUUCUAAUAAUUCCUUCAUUUUUCAUGAAAAGUUUACUUUUUCUACAAAUAGUAUUCAAUAUUCGUUAAAAAGUAAUAAUUUAUAACCUAUUAUUUUUAAAAAUGGGGCUUCUUAAAUUUAGGGGCCUAAGACACAUAUCUUUUUUUAACACUAUCGAGUCACCCCUGAUUACAUUUACUUUUUAUCAAGUUCAUAAAUUAAGCAUUUUGUUCGAUCAUAAAAUUUGAUACACUAAUUACCAAAAAGUUAUGUUAUAAACAAAAUAUUGACGUUAUCAUACAACUAUCGAUGUUGAAAAUUUAAUAUACAUAAAGAAAAAAUGUUUUCUUUUUAUUUUACUUUUAUCUAUUUUUACUUGUCUAUUAUAUUAAAAAAAUAUUUAAUUUUUUUGUUUGUUCACUUUUUAAAAUUAAAAUAUAUGCACUUAAUUUCUAAUUUAUCUUUGUUACUAACUAUACUUAUUUUCCUAAAUCCUAAUGUAUUUCAACAAAAGAUUAAACUUAAUAUUUUUUUAAAAAAGUAAUCUAUAAUAAAAAUAUUAUUUAUUUGUUAUUCUUUUUGUAAUAUGACAAAAGACAAGUAAAAUGAACGAUGAUAAAAAUUGUGUACUCAAAGGGUUUUAGUUGAAUGUUUUUCUUCUUAAAUGGAUAUAUAAAUAUAAUUGUUGAAUUUUCUUAAUAUAAGAAAACCUUUAGUUUUUAGGUUGAUUUUUGUUUUUGAUUUAUUUAAUAUCUGAUAUUUGUGUUUGAAUUUGAUUAAUUUAAAUUAGCAUAUUAUAAGGUUUAUUUUCGAGAAAAUUCAACAGAGUUUUUUUUUCAUCCACAUAAGCUUGAACUAAAUUUUUUUUUACUCGUUUAUUUAGAAAAAAAAUUAACUAUUUUGACUAGUGUGUCACCUUUUUCCUUAUUUGUUCUUGUACUUGUUUUACUUUACUUAUGUAAAUUAUAGAAAGAGAUUAUGAAAUAUUAUUUUUUUUUUUUAAAAAAAAAGGAAUUUAUGUUUGUUACGUUUUGUUUCAACUUUUUUUGCCUUUUUGUGCAAUAUAGUUGUAUCUAUAAUUAAAAAACAAUUUUUUGAAGAAACAUUAUGUGGAAUAAAGUUGCUAAUAUAAAAAAUGAUUUAUCGGUGGAAGUAAACAAAAAGUUUUCAUAUUUUAUGGAGCUUUAAUUUAAAAGUUUAUAAUCUAUGACCAUAUAUAAACUUGAAAACCUAUAAAAUAAAGUUUUAUUGUUUCAAGUUAGUUAUUUUUUUUCUUUAAUUGGAUUUUGAGUAUUCAAAACAUUUUCAUAAAAAAUAGUCAUGGUAAUUUCUAGAAUGUUAAAUUAUGAACUCUCUCACUUAUUUAGGUGAAUAGAUUUACCCCUACAAGUAAUAUAACUUAGGAAGCUAAAACAAACUUUGAAGACCUGAGAUUUUUCUUUUCUAAAAGACUGAUUAAUAUGAAAAAAGCGAAAAAUAAUAAAGUUGAUUAAUCUAUUAAUGAAUUUUUAGCUAUCGUGUAAAAUAGAAAAUAUCCAUCUAAUAUAAGACAUAUUCUUUCUUUUAGUCUGGGGGCAUUAGUAAAAGAUCUAAGCGGUCUUAGCUCCUUCUUUGGUUUUGCCGCCCUUGCCCUUCUUCUCUUUUCUCUUCUUUUAGAAGAUGUCCGUGAUCGGAACGACUUCUGGAGUAAUUAACAAAAUAAAUUUCUCAUCUUAAUCUUUUUAUCUAAUAAAAUAAAAUCAAUUAAACUUGUGAAUUGUGAUCAAAUGAUUCAGAACUCUCCGCCUUUGAUCAAAAAUCUCGUACUCGACCCUUCUAAAAUUGAAAAAAAAUAAAUAUGUUCAAAGCACCGCUCCUAAAAAAUUACUCUCCAUAACAGCCUGAUACAGCCCAAAAAACAAUUCUACUCUUUAUUUUUAAUGAUUUUUAACAUGUAUUAUUAGUUUGUAUACAAUAUACAUUGAUUAUACAUGUCAAUGUUAAACUCCUUAUAUAAAUUUUAAUAUAUAUAUAUAUAUAUAUAUAUAUAUAUAUAAAAUAAAUACGAGAUUUAAAUUCAAAUUUGAACUUCAUAAUAAUGACAGUAUUUUUUAAAAAAAAGGUUCCGGAGACUAAAAAGUGGUUAUUUAUGAAAUUUAUUUUAAGGUUUCUUAAUCAUUAUUUUUCUUUCUUAAUUUGUAUAUUAAUUGUUGACUAUGGUCCCUCUACCUACAUUUUAUGAAGUUGGUCAAAUACAUUUAAUUUUAUUGAUUAAAUUGUCACUUGUCAUAAUAUAUAACCAUUUUUAGCCAUAUAAUUAAUUGAAAAUUUGUGAUUCUUUCUAUAUACACUGUAUCAUUUAGCUUUAACAAAACUAUCAUGUGACUCUUCUAACAUAUUAUAGUAUUUUAUUAUAUUAUUUAAGUCAAAACCAAACGUGUUGAAAAUUAUAUAUGGAGGAAUUUAAGUCUUAUGAUUGUUUGAAUAAUUAACUUGUCUAUAAUUCCUGAUAAGAUGUUUAAUUUGAUUAUCGUCUUUAUUAUAUUUACGAGGUAAUAAUAAAAUUUAUAUAGAUUUUUCUAUUCAGAUUUUAUUUUUGAAAUUGCAAUUAUUAUUUUAUUGUGAACUUCGGGGUAUUGUAGUAUUUUUGUUAUUUAGGUUUAAUUUUUUUUCUAUGAAUAAUAUAAAUUUAUACUUGCCUGGCAUAAUUUGACCAAUUAAUGAUUUUUUACGUCAUAAUUAUAUAUAGUUGAAGAGGUAAAUUUUUGUGUUAUUUUUUGAAACUAUUUUAAGUAAUUCUUUAUUAUUGAUUGUACUUCGACCAAAUAAAUUUGAAGAGUCUUUGAGGAUAAUUACAUUACAUAUAAGCUAAUAAAAAUUAAAUUGAAGUAGGAAAUUUAGAUUAAUAUCAAGAUGAGAUUAAAAUAUGUAUUUUUAUACAUAAAAUAAUUUAUUUAAAAGAAUCAUAAGUGUUACUCUUUUUGUCCCUAAUUAGCGGUUUGAUUUUUUCCUUUUUUAUUUGUUUUUUUUUAAUUGUCCAUUUUGAUGAAUGGAUAAUUUUUUUUUUUACCUAAUUAGUUAAGUAAUUUUAGAAAAGGUAGAACUUCUUGAAAAAAAUCUUAAAUUAUUUAAUUCGUCUAUUAAAUAAUUAAUAGACAUAAAAUGAUAAACUCAUUAUGUUAAAAAAAAUUUUAAUGAAUAUUUUAAUUUAAAAGUGAACAAAUAACUAGAAACGUAAAAAAAAUAUUAAGCUAGUCUUUGUCUAUCAAUAGAUAAAAUAUUUAACCGAUUAUACGCAAACGUUAUUCUUACAUUUGCAAUAAAGUGUAUGCAAAACCGUACAUAUAUAUAUGAUAAUAAAUAGGCAAAAUACAAUAUUAAAUUAAACAGUAGUUUCCAUGUGUUUAUUGUUUUCUUUAAAUCUAUUUAAUUUUGUUUAUUGGUAACUUUAAAAUAUCUUUAAAAGUUACCUGCCGUGUGAAAUAAAAUUAAAAUAAAUAUAGGAUAAUUACCCACCUAGCUCGUUCUAUGGUUCAAAUUUACGUAGACGCAUUAUAUAUUUAUUUAUUUAUUUAACUUUAAUAGUUUAAUUAAUUGUACACUUUUUAAUUUGAAAUUGCCCAUUAGUGUAUAGUCAAAAUUAAUGAUAACCUUAUCCUUAUUUUGGCUAUGAAAUGAUUUGAGUCUUUUAUUUUUUUGACGUUUCCAGUAAAAAAUUAAGUAAAAUAACUUCAAAUUAUUGUUUCUAUUCCAUAUUUGUUCCUUUUCAUAUUCACUGAUCAAACUUCAUAUUAUCGAGGACAUGAAGGUCAAUCGUGUAUCAAGAUACAAGGUUGAUAAUGAAUAAAGUGUUAUCUUGCGACGGAUCGUGUGUAGUACUGGCCGUACAUUUUUAGUUAUUGCCAUAUGUUGUUUAUUGUAUUUCAACUAUCACAUUAUAUUUGUUGAUAUUACCGUUCUUUCUUGUAAACUUUACAUUACUUAAUUUUCUCAUUAACGGUUAUGCUUCUUCGCUGCUCUCUUUUUACUCGUACUUCUGCUUGAUGUACUUGAGUUGAAGGUCUAUCGAUAACAGUCUCUAUUUUCUCGAGGUAACAGAUGGUUUACAUAUACCCAACUUUCUCUAAAUCUCACUUUGUGGAAUUUUACUGAAUAUAAGCUCUUGAAAUGUUUGUGACCAAUUAUUAUUAAUCCAAAAUAAAAGUUGGAAGAAUGAGUAUAUGAGAAAAUGAGAGAAAUUAGGACCAAUCAUAAAAAAUUUUAAAAAAAGAUUAUUUUUUUUAAUUUUUUAAUUUUUUUAUGAUUGAUAAUACAUUUGGUGGGAAUAUUAAAAGGCAUAUAAUAGAAAUAUUCAUUUCUGGUCAUGUCAGUGUUAUUGAACAGAUCCCACUAAAGAGGCAGAAGGAAAGAAUCAAGGAAUUAUUCUUUUAUAUUAAAGUUUCUGUAAAACAGAAUAUUCCAAUUUAAGAAAUAUAAAUUAAACUUUUUUUGACAUUAUAAUAAUUGGGAAUAUAUAGGAAAGCACUUAUACAUUUUCUUAUUGGGCUUGUGAUCCUAAUUUAAUAAAUUUUCAUCAUACAAUCUUCUACACAUGAUUUCCCAACUUGUAACCUAGUGUCUCUUAUAAAUUUGAAGUUCGAUAUUAGAUUCAUCUGAAUUCAUAUUUUAUAUAUAUAAAAUUGAAUUUAUUUAAAUUUUAUUUUAUUAUUAAUGUCAUUGUAAGUUAACAUAUUUUUGUACAAUCUUUCACACAUUUCUUAAUUUAUAAUGCUCGUUUCUUACAAAUUCAGAGUUAUAAUGCAAUAUUAAAUUUACUGAAUUAAUUUAUACUCAAAGGUGUUUUAUAUGUGAGAUAUCAAACUCAUCUGAAUUUAUAUUUUAACUAAAAAUUGAAAAUUCAUAUGUACAAUGAACUAAAAUUGUAUAUUGUAAAUUGUAACUCAUAAUUUUAAUAUUACGAUAAGUUUGAUAUCAAAAAUCUUAAAAGUUAACCUCUCGAAACUUAAAUUUUAAAAUCCAUCUUCGUUUACUAUGUAUAUUAGUAGUCAAUAAUUCAAUAGUUUUUAUAGAAAUGCAAUUAAAAUAACUAGUUGAUCAAAUUAAAUGUAUCUCUUUGAGAAAUUGAUAUAUAAAUUACUUUUUUUACUCUCUUUUUUCACUCACUGAGUCAUCUGUAUAUAUUUCUUCAGUUAGUUUAUUUUUUCUAUAGACGCUGUCAGAAAUUCAAGUCAGGAUCCAUGACCAUUAUUGGUGUAUAUAUAUACAUAGUGAUUGUCCUCACCGCACUUGUAUAAGCGGGCAGAGAUGGUAGUGACGGUUGUUACAAGUGUUGUGAGGACAAUCACUAUGCAUGUGAAUGUACCUAUGGUGGUCAUUGACCGUGGCUUGAAGUCCUGACUACGUUUGCACAAAAAAUAAACUAAAUGAAGAAUUUUUGGCAUAUAGAGAUGACUCAGUAAGCGAAAAAAAAAAGUGAUUUAUAUAGCAAUUUCUCAAUGCAAUACAUUUAAUUUGGUCAAUUAAUUAUUAAUUACAUUUGUACAAAUAACUAUUGAAUUAUUGACUAAUAAUUUAUAUAAUCAAUACUAUUAACUAGUUAGCUAAAUACUAAAAUUACAUAAAUUUUGACUAGGGAAAUUCUUUCAUUGUCCACUAAAUUUACUUAUCGAAGAGAAUAUUUUCGUUAAUAAAUCAUAAGUCCAUAAUCAAUUAACAAUAUUCAUAGGUAAAUAAAUAACUAAAAACAAAAUUUUUUGAUUUAGCUAAAACAUAUAUAAUUUUUAGAAACAAUGAUUUCUUUUAUAUAUAAAAAUAAGUAAGGUGAAAUAUAUCGCGUAAUUAUUUUGUACAUUCAAGCUCUCUAUUAAACCAAAAUUUUCUUUUCUCCGUUUUUUCAAUUUUUGCUUGGAUUAUUGACAUAUGACAUAAAUUAAAUUUAAUGACUAAUAAUUAAUUUAUUUAAGUAAAUUCUUAAUCAUACUUUUUUAUAUAAUAAAACACAUUAUAUGUUAGUCAAAAUUUCCUCUAAUUAUAGUAUUUUUUUUAAAAAAUCAUGUACAAAAUAAAAUAUACUCCCUUUAGUACAAAAUGAAAUCACUUGAUACGUAAAGGGCCAGAGGCGGAGUCAGAAUUUUCAAUAAAGGGGUUCAAAAUCUGUAGAAACAGAUAAUCGAAGGAGGUUCGACAUUUACUAUAUAUAUACCUACAAACUUAUUUUAACUAUGUAUAAACAAUAUAAUAUUCCGCUGAAGGAAAUUUAAAUAAACCCCCUUCAUACAGAAUAGCUCCGCCCCUGAUAAAGACUAUUCUACUCGUAGCUCGACUUGAUUUGAUUUAAGUAUAUAUUAAUCAAUAGAAUUAAUUAAAUUUGAUUAGGCCCAAAAUUAUUUGACAAAGAUGUCCAACAAUUUUCAUGUCCUAGUAUAUUUGGCAGGUGAAUCAGAAAAAUAAAAUAAAAUCACAACUAGUGGUAAAAUAUUUUAGUGCACUUAGUUAAAUUAAAAUUGAUAACUACUUGACCAGUCACAAAAUCACUAAUAAGUUAGUGGCCACCUAAGAAUUUUAAUCUUUCAGUGCAUGCGAACAAGUGUACAGAUUCCUGGCCAUAAUAUAUAUUUACUCCCUUCGUUUUUUAUCUCAAUUUAUAUGACAUAUUUUAAAUUACUCGAUCUUCAAUUAAGUGUGUCGUUUGAUCUUCUUGUGAUAUAUGAGAAGUAGUGGGGUCACAUAUAGUCGAGGGUACGAUGUUAAUCGACACCAUUUUACUAGAAAACUAUAUUGUGUAACUAGGUAAAAAUAUUAUUCUACAAGAGUAUAAUAUGUUCAUAUCCUUUCGUUUCUAUGUGCUUUAGCAUCUGUAUAUUUUGACAUCUCUCUUGGUAAAAAUUCUGACCCCAUUACUACACAUGAUCAGAGUAUACUAAUUUUAAAAAUUAUAUACAUAAAAGAGUAUCGAAUUUUAUUAAGGAUCACAAAUUCACAUGCCUAAAUUUUUACUUAUAAAUUCACUCAUGCGAUCAGAGCUUUACGUCCAAUCAUUUCGAAUAACGUUUUCAUUCUCUGUAUUAUUACGAUUCAGAAUUAAUCGAUAUUUAAAUUUCUCAUAUAAUGUUAUUAAUUCUUCUCUAAAAAAACUAUUUAAUAAAUUUCUCCGGACUUAAUUCUUCAAAUGUUAAUAAAGUACAAUCUUUAUUAUUAAAAAUUUUUAAAACUCAAAUUCGAGAUCUAUCGAAAAAAAUACAAAGAAUUUUAACCAUGUUAUCGUAACUUUUGGUGAUAGUUACAGUUUGACCGUUAAUAAGAAGUUGUUUGGCACUGUGAAAAUGACAUGUAAAAGGCUGGAUGUAUUAUAUUCUAGUGGGGGAUUUGCUGAUGUUGCAUUGGGGCCAAAGGUAGAAAAUAAAAUAAAUAAUAAUAAUAAGUACUAUCUUAUUGGUUUAAGAAAAAAAAUAAUAUCUUAUUGACUAAUAAUAAUACAAAAUCUAUUUAAAAUGGUGAAAAUUUAUAUUGAAUGGUCCAGCUAGUAAUAUUAUUCGUUUUAAGCUAAGAUUAGCAUGGAGUUACAACAUAUCAAAUGAAAAUCAUUUAUAAUUUUUCUAUCUGAUCUGCAUUUACUCAAUUCUUUAAUUUUCAUGUCCUACCUAUAAAUUUUGGCUAAUUUGUUAUUGUUAAUUUAUUGUUAUGGUAUAAAAUCCAUAUUACUGACCAUAUAUAACUAUAUAGUUUGGUAUUAUAUUUUUUCUACAAAGUUUUUUUUUUUACAAUCAAAUGACAGUAGUAAGAAUAUUAUUACUCCUACAUUAUAUUUAACUUUAUUAUAUGUAAAAUUCAAAGUACUUUCUAGGUCAUUUUGCAUUUGACAUGUAAAGAUGAUUUGGAUUCUCACUAUUAAAUACUAUUUUUUUUAAUCAUGAUAAAAAAAUUAAAGCAGUUUCGUGUUAACUUAGUUGUACUAAUUUUAGUUUAUAAUUAUUAUUUAAUUAAUUAAUCCUAAGAGGUGAUCUGAAUUAGCCAAAUUGUAUAUCACUAGAUGCUGUGUGUAAUCCAUUAUAUGAACUCUGCCACAAAUUAAAGUUGAUUAAUUAGUGGUUAUGAUCAUCUUUUUGCAUCAUCCCCCUAACUAAAUUACAAUUCUAUACUUAGGAAAUUUAUUUAAUUAUACAAAAACCCAUAAUCUUGUGACACCAUUUUCAGGCAGGAUUAACACACUUUUCAUUUACUUUUUUAAAAAAAAUUCAAUUUUCGUACUUAAGAUGUGGUGCAGUAAAUAAAGUUAUUUCUCUCUUAAUUAAAGAUUUCAUAUUCGAGUUCAGCGUAUGAAAAAUUAUCUUUGAUAGAGAGUAGCUCCCUCUGAAUAAAGCUCUGUGUGACGAAAAUUUAAAUUAGUCGAACUCCAAUAUAAUUUUUUUUUUUUUGGGAACACUCAAGGCAACAAAAAUAAUAAUUAUUUUAUAUAUAUAUUAUUAUUAUUUUCUUUUCACUAGGAUGAUUGUCAAUUGCUACCAUAAUAAGUUUAAUUAUUUUAUGCUAAUCCUAAGUCAAAUCCUAAUCUUAAUGAUUUUAUCCAUAUGCAAACCGAUCCAAAUUUGGAUGAUGAGAGAAUAUAUUUUAUUUUUUAAAAAUAAGUAAACAAAAUCAUGAUGAUUAUGAAGAGUACUUAAUUAGACUAAUAAGAUUUAAAUAUUAAAAACUCAAAUCAAUAAAUGGUCAAAGCUCACAAACAGCUCUAUAUUUUAUUGUUACUUAAUCAAUUUUAAGGUACUACUAGUUAUCUUUAAUUUAAGUCAAUGUGAUUUAAUGUUGAGUUGGAAAAGCACAUAUUCAAGGUAGAUUUUGUAUUUUUUUUCCAAUUUUAUGUACUCAUUAUGUAUAAAAUAUUUAUAUAAUCAGAUAAAUUUAUUAAGUACAAUUACAUUCAUAUAUAUAUAUAUCUCGAUAGUAUUUCUCUAUUGGUGAGUCAGUAAAAAUAUUAAUCGGUGAAUAAAUUUAUAUUGGUAAUUCAUAUACCUCCUAUCAGUAGUAUUAACUAUUCAAUUUUAAAGUAAAACAAUUCAUUUUUAACUAGAGAUUUCGAGUUUGAGCUUUUGAGAAUAAAAUUCUUAUUGAGAGUGUCGACCUGAUAAUAAAUCAUGCAAUAAGUAAAUUUUAAUUUACUUGAUUUCAAUACAAAUAUCGAACGAUAAAUUAAAUAAAAUAGAACAAUCCCCUUGUAAAUGUUCCAUUGUUGGCUAAGCAAAGCAAGUUAGGUGCAUUUCCAAUUUCCCCCAAAUGUGUCACAUGACAACUCAUUUCAUUAAUUAUUAAAUUACGUGAGGUAAAGAAUGAGAUUGUUUCUGUUUUAAUUAGAGGUCUUGAAUUCAAAUUCUCAAUGUAGAAAAUAUUUUUGAUAGAAAGCGCUACUCUCAUAUGGGGGUCUUAUUAGGCGUGAAUCUGAAUUAGUCGAACUUUAAUAUGAAUAUCAAACACAGAAAAAAGAACCAAAAAAAGACAACUCAUUUAAAUUUCCCUUUAAUAACUAUAAAUAAAUAUUAAUUUUAAAGUAUUCAACCACCUUUGAAAAAAAAAGGAAACCUUUAAGUCAAAAUUUAUAUAUUUAUUCUUAAUUAAUUUUUUUAUGACGAAAUGUAAGUGUUAUUGUGCUAAAAAAAUAUGUGAAUCAAAAAAGAAAAAAUUGAUGGUGGCUUGAAGCAAAGCAAAGUUGGUACAGAGCACUGUUGGAGAAUUUAAUUAAUUUAAUUAACACGUAAUUAAAUAAUUAAUUACUUUAUCAAAAAAAAUAUAAAAAAAAUAAUUAAUUUAAAACCCUACCAUUGUAUCUAAUUACGUAAUUUUUUUGUCCUUAAUACUAAAACGGUAAUGGUUUUUUGAUGGAGAAAAGCUGUAAAUCUUUCUGAUUUAAGUGGAGACAUCUUUAGCCAUAAUUAAAAAUUUGUUUAAUUAUUUUUUAAUUAAAAAAUUUAAUUAAUCAUGUAUUUAACACAUUAUAAAUAAACCAGCUGGCAAAUAUUAUAAUAUAAUUCAUUUGGCAGCUUUACUUUGCUACUUUGCACUUCACAACAUAAUUUAGCACAUAUAACAUAGAAUCUUUUGGACACAUUUUGCAAGAUUUGAUUAUAUAUAAGUAUUUUAUUUUUAAAGAUCCAACAAUAUUCUUCUAAUUAAGGUUUGAUAAUUAAUUAAAAGAUAAUAAACGUGAUUAAUUUUAAUUAUUCCAUAUUUAAAUAAAUUAUAUUCAUGUUCGAACAUGUAUAAUCCUAGUUUCAUGUCAAAUAAAAGACCAAUUUUCUCUCCCACAACGAAUGUAGGACUUUUAACACUUUUCAUAUGCUCAGAACUAGACAUUUAGAGUGUGAAUAAAAUAAAAUGAACUCAAACAUCGAGAAAUGAAAAUUAGGAUAGUCAAACUCUGAUACUAUAUACGAUAAAAAACCUGGAUCGAACAUAGUGUUGAUGUUCAUAGACCAAAGAAUGUGAUGUCAACACUACUAAAUGUUCAUGAUAAUGAUUUUACGUUAUAUACUUAGCCUUUGUCACUCUCCAAAGGACAAUAUAGUUUAGUUAUAUAUCGACCUUGGCUAAACAAAUUAUAUUAAUAUUUCCUAUGUAUAUAUUUUAAUUUAUUUAUUUUGGGAUCUUGCAUUUUUGAGAUAUAAGAUAUAGUAGUACGUAGUUCGAACACUAAAUAAAUUAUUAAUCUACACUUUUUAAAGUAAAUUAUUAAUUAAUUCAAGUGAUCCAUAAGUAGUGGGCACAAAACCUUAGGGUUAUUGAGCCAUAGAAAGAUGUUUUUAUAAGAAAAACAAAGUAUUGUUAUCUUGGUUUGCACUAAGUUUGAUCAUCACAAUUAUUGGUUGAUCAAAAAUCCAAUUGACAACUACGUUGAUAUUUAGGUAAAGUAUUAAUAUAUAUAUAUAUAUAUAUAUAUAAAUGGUUUGGAUCGAUCGGUUGAGACUACUAGAUUCGAUAUUUUUAGUUGAGGAUAUAAUAGGGGGAAAUACAAUAUGAAGAAUUCAAAGUUCCACCAACAAGAUGAAUAAUCAGGUAGUGAAUCAACUAAUUUAUGAUGAUUUCUCAGAAACAACAAGUAGCUCGAGCUCUUACAAAAUAUGGAUGAAUGUGCAUUGGAUCCUCCAUAAUAAUGUAAUUUGGAAGAGUCCUAAAAAGCAACAUAUAUGAUUUGAAGGGAAAUUAACUUACGGAAUUUCCACUAGUUUAGGAGCUACUUACUACAGUCUACUUUGCAAUAUUACGAAUCAUAUAAGAUUUUAGUGCGUCUAGAUACAUGUAUCCUAAGAUACAUGAGAACAAAUUAGGUGUAAUUUGUUCUAGAUACAGUGUAUCUCAAUGGAUUCGCAUGUACUUGGUAUACAUAGACAAAUCUCACUCACCUCUUUCUCAUCUCGUCCUUCACUCUCCUAUGUAUCUAGCAUCUCAAAUAUAUGUGAAUCACGUCAAAUACAUAUAUCUCAUUCACCUCCUUCUCAUCUCGCAUGCCUCUCUCUAUAGUUUAGUGCAUCGAGUAACAAAAAUAUAUAUAUAUAUUUAAGUGUAUCUUUCUUCAAUAUAUAAUAGAAACCUCUUAAUUAGUGGUUGAAUAUAUAAUUACUUUAAACUACAUAAGUAUAUAUAUGGAUAUAUGUCCAUUAAAAUGUUUUUCCUUGUUAAAAACCUUGAAUCUUUUUAUUGGUUUGUUGAAAUUUCUAAAAAUUUAUUGGUUAGAAAGAGAUAUAUCAUGAGCACUUAUGUAUCUCCUUCUUAUAUUAUUAAUUAUUAUUACAUCCACUAAUAUACUGUUUCAAUCUCUCCCUUAGCUCAGGAUCACCAAACCCUAAUUCCAUUUGCCCCACCCUCCCACCUCUAAAGAUUCUCAAUAAUUCUUCAAUUCUACUUUCCACUUGUCCAAUUUGAUCUUGAAUCAAUGUUAUUCAAUGAACUUCAUACUGUUAAUUUAUUGAGUAUAGAUGCCGCUUCGUGAUUUGAAAUUUAUUGAUUCUAAAUUUGAACUUACGGUACAGGGGUGGAGCCAGAAUUUAAAGUUUAUUUAGGAUUCUGAGUUUAAAUUCAGGAGAAGAGGCGAAAUUAAGGUUUAAUGUUAAUAUAUGGGUUCUAAACUUAACUAAGUUUAGGAGCAAAGACAGAGUUUACGAUUUUAAAUUUAUAUAUUCAAAAUUUUAGCUUUUUAAGUUUAAGUUCUAAAUUAAUGAUUUAUAUGCAUUCAAUAAAUUACUUAUGACAAAUAUAGGAUGUGGAUCAAAGUUAUUGAAUUAGGCGGAAAAUGUAACCAAAAUCCUUGUUUAUGGCUUACUAAAGUUUAUUAUAUAUACAUAUCGAGUAAAUUUUUGGACAAGUGUAUAUAAUUAACAUUCGAUAAAAACUUAUUAAAUUCUGUCAAACUUGUACGCUCCACCUAGAUUGAGGAUGGAGAAAACAUGUCCUCCUCCUCCAUCAUCUUCAUGUAUAGAUAAAGACCUUAAAUUUCCUAUCUUGAUUGUCCACUUUUUCCAACUUUCCAUCUCAAAAGAGACAAUUUGUCUCAAAAUUAGUAAAAUGGUCUAUAAUAUCUUUUUUAAGUGAUCUCAACACUAUCUACUAUAUCAUUAAAUCUUUGUUAAUUACAACAUUAAUACUAUCUCAAAUAUCAAUGAUUAAUGGUGUGUGUGAAUUAUGUCACAUUGACAUGUCCAAGAAACAAAACAAUGAGAGUGAUAAAAAAAAAUAAGCAUGUUUGACCUUCUUACGAAUUGAACGAUUUAAAUAUAACAUACGCUGUAUAUAGGAUUCUCAUGAUGCAUAUAAUAAGUCUUUAUAUAUAUAAGUGAUAUUAUGAUCCACAUUACACAUAGCACAAAUUUAAAAUAGAUAUAUUAUUAAAUGAUCUUUAUUAUUUUAUCGAUACGAAAUUUGCCUAGAUUAUUAUAUUAUUGGGAUAUUGAGUGGGGAACAUUGGUAUUGCAUUUAAUAUGUUUAUAAGGCUAGUAAAGAAAAGUUAAAAAGGCAUUUGAGUAUAUAUGUUUUUAGUGGUUGCUUUAUUGAGACCUUCGAUAGGGACAUUAGACAUUACCACAAAGCCAAAAACAUUGAUGAAAAUUAAAAUAGUGAGAGACCACUUCAAUAAUAUUAUAAUAAGUAUAUAAAAUAUAGUCAAUUAAAUAUAUCCACACAUUGCUUUUUUAGUGGAUGGUUCUAUUUAUUUAGAAAUAUAAUACGUUUCUUAAAAGAUUCAAUGAUUUGAGAACAUAAUUUUACUAUUUUUUGAGUUCUUUUACGACUCUAUAUAUCGAUUAUAAUAUAGUAUAUGUAGAUCUUUUAAGUCAUAUUAUAUAUUUGUAUUAGUAGCAUUUUUUAUUAAUUAGUUUUGGGUAAAUUCAUACUAAAUAUAUAUGGAUUAGCUUGCUUUGUUACUUAGUAAACGAUAAUAUAGUUCUAUAAAUAAUUAAUUAUAACAUCGUUUUGACAUGAAGGGGUAUCAAAAGCACACAUUUUAAUUGAUUAACUGAAAAUUAAACAUAUUGAAUCGUAUAUCACAUAAAUCAAGAUAAAAUUUAUUAAUAAUUUAAAGAUUAAACUAUUAUUAUCCCCGUAUAAUAUUUUAGGACAUAGUAUUAUAUUAUAAUUUAUAUGUCAAGAUUUAAGAAAAAUAUUUUAAAAAGGUCCCACAGUUUGAAUCUUUGACCAAUGAUUUGGAGUAUUUAUGGACUUAAUGAAUCAUAAGCCACAUACUAUCUUAAUAAUGAAUAAUUCUCCAAUUACAGAAAUAGAAACCACUAAAAAAAGUUUUGGUUAUUUAAAAUAAUAAUUAAAAAAGGACACAUAGUGUAAACACUAAUAGUGCUGAAGUCAUAAAAUUAGUUAAAGCAUUUAUAUAGAAAAAAAUAAUAUUGUCUUGUCCCAACUGAUAUAUAGUAAAGUUGCAAGAGGUCAACCGAAUUUAAUUUCAAUAUUUUUCAUUCAAAAUCACAUUAUAACAAAAACAAUAUAUUCAUUACAAAGUAAAAUAUCGCGAGUGAAAUCUAAAAAGGAUAAAGAGCACGUGGAUCUUGAAAGUGCAAGUCACAUUAAUCAUUAUAAUCUCAUGAGUAAAAUCUGAGAGAUCAUCUUCAAUAGACCCUCGACUUCAAAAUCAUAUUAGUAGUUGUAAAAUAUGUGGCGGGCAAAAAAGGUGGAGGUUUAUUUGGAGCAAUCCGUCAAGCUUUUACUGGACUUGAUAGACACCGACUCGUUAUCCUUCCACUACACAGAGCGGGAGCUGUUUACUGCUCUAUGAAGCCAGCCUCGUGCGAUCCGCCCCACUUUAGGAAUCAAGAAGCCCAUACUUACAUUUGGGCCUCAUUAUCCAACACUGUGCUUGGAUAGGGCAGGCCAGAAAUAAGCCCAUCAAGCCCAACCAUUUGGUUAAGCCCAAUAUUCUACCACCUUAAUGCCGGGUUACAAGCCCACGUUACUAAGCUCGACGUGCAACAAAGUGUCAUAGAUUAUUAUAAAUUCAUUAACAUAUGGCGAUGUGGGAAAAAUUAUAAAUUCCAUGAGAGGCAAUAAAGAGAGUUAUAUUUAGUUUAAUGUUGCACCAUUUCUUACUUUAUUUUCAUUUUGUACGAAUUGUACGUUUCAUAUAAUUGCUUAUUUCUUGUAUUUUGCUUUCAUACUUAAAUUUUGUGAUGUUAUACUUGAGUUGAGGGCUUAUUGGAAAGAGGUUUUUUGUCCUCACUAAGUAAAGAUUAGAUUGCGUACACAUUAAUAUUAUCAAACUUCACUUGUGAAAUUACAUUGAGUGUGUCGUUGUUGUAUUUUAUCUUGUACGACAAUGGCAUGAGUUGAGUUUAAUGAAGUGACGAGAAUUCAUAUAGCCGAUCCCAACUUAUUUAAAAUUGAGGGACCAAAUUCCGUUAAUAUUUCCCAUGUUAAAUUCGUGUUUUGAAUCAUUUCUUGCUUCGUUGUAGAAAGAAGAAAACUUAUAUAUUUGUUUUGUGAUUUUGAGACAUAAGAAAACUUAUAUAUUUGUUUUGUGAUUUUGAGGCAUAAGAUCUAAUAAUAUUAACUUCUUUUAAAUGACAAUACUUUUGUUGUGCUUCAUGAUUUACAUCCCAACAACCUAUGUGGUUUGAAUGAGUCAUUUUCUUCGUUCUUAAUCAAAGAUCUCAAAUUUGAAUCACAUGUAUAAAGAAUUCAAAUUAUCAAUCUUUUUACAAGGAUUUCGUACUCAAUAUAUAUAUAUAUAUGUGUGUGUGUGUGCAUAAAAUAACGGAAUAAGUAAGAACUUACAAUAUAAUUUUCGAUUGCACUGAUGAAAAUAUUGUGUGAAAAUCCUGAUUAGGCUGUAUAAAGAAUUCAAAUUAUCAACCUUUUUACAAGGAUUUCGUAUUCAAUAUAUAUAUAUAUAUAUAUGCAUAAAAUAACGGAAUAAUUAAGAACUUACAAUAUAAUUUUCGAUUGCACUGAUGAAAAUAUUGUGUGAAAAUCCUGAUUAGGCUGUAUAAAGAAUUCAAAUUAUCAACCUUUUUACAAAGAUUUCGUACUCAAUAUAUAUGCAUAAAAUAACGGAAUACUUAAGAACUUACAAUAUAAUUUUCGAUUGCACUGAUGAAAAUAUUGUGUGAAAAUCCUAAUUAGGCAAAAAAAGAUUUCGUACUCAAUAUAUAUGCAUAAAAUAACGGAAUACUUAAAAACUUACAAUAUAAUUUUCGAUUGCACUGAUGAAAAUAUUGUGUGAAAAUCCUAAUUAGGCAAAAAAAAGGUGGUUGUUUAUUGGAGCAACCCAUUAGGCGUUACUGAACUUGAUAAGACACCGACCCAUUAUCCUUCCACUGCACAGAGCGGGAGCUGUUCACUGCUCUGUGAAGCCAGCCUCAUGCGGUCCGCCCCGCUUUAGGAAUCAAGAAGCCCAUAUUUUCAUUUGGGCCUCGUGAUCCUACUCUGUGCUUGGACAGGGCAGGCCAGAACUAAGCCCACCAAGCCCAACCUUCUGGUAAAGCCCAAUAUUCAACCACUUUGAUGUCUCCACUUGGAUUACAAGCCCACGUUACUAAGCUCAACAUACA